This 314-nucleotide ribosomal RNA is filed under the name uncultured Chloroflexota bacterium. RNAcentral describes it as "bacterial SSU rRNA". It matches the Rfam family "Bacterial small subunit ribosomal RNA", at positions 28 to 351 of the family's 1533-position model. The record is from RNAcentral. Lineage: Bacteria; Bacillati; Chloroflexota.
GAUGAACGCUGGCGGCGUGCUUAACACAUGCAAGUCGAACGGACCAUAUUCGUAUGGUUAGUGGCAGACGGGUGCGUAACACGUGGGUGACCUGCCCUCAAGUGGGGAACAACUCCGCUAACGCGGAGCUAAUACCGCAUAUGUUCGCUGAUUCGGUUCAGCGAGUAAAGCAGCAAUGCGCUUGGGGAUGGACCUGCGGCGGAUUAGCUAGUUGGUGGGGUAACGGCCUACCAAGGCGAUGAUCCGUAGGGGGCGUGAGAGCGUGGCCCCCCACACUGGCACUGAGACACGGGCCAGACUCCUACGGGUGGCUG